AGUGAACGCUGGCGGUAGGCCUAACACAUGCAAGUCGAACGGCAGCACAGUAAGAGCUUGCUCUUACGGGUGGCGAGUGGCGGACGGGUGAGGAAUACAUCGGGAUCUACUUUUUCGUGGGGGAUAACGUAGGGAAACUUACGCUAAUACCGCAUACGACCUACGGGUGAAAGUAGGGGAUCUUCGGACCUUGCGCGAUUGAAUGAGCCGAUGUCGGAUUAGCUAGUUGGCGGGGUAAAGGCCCACCAAGGCGACGAUCCGUAGCUGGUCUGAGAGGAUGAUCAGCCACACUGGAAAUGAGACACGGUCCAGACUCCUACGGGAGGCAGCAGUGGGGAAUAUUGGACAAUGGGCGCAAGCCUGAUCCAGCCAUACCGCGUGGGUGAAGAAGGCCUUCGGGUUGUAAAGCCCUUUUGUUGGGAAAGAAAAGCAGCAGGUUAAUACCCCGCUGUUCUGACGGUACCCAAAGAAUAAGCACCGGCUAACUUCGUG
Molecule: ribosomal RNA, 492 nt
Filed under: uncultured bacterium
Lineage: Bacteria
Description: partial 16S ribosomal RNA
Rfam family: Bacterial small subunit ribosomal RNA
Source: RNAcentral